UACGAAGGGGGCUAGCGUUGUUCGGAUUUACUGGGCGUAAAGCGCACGUAGGCGGAUCGUUAAGUCGGGGGUGAAAUCCUGGAGCUCAACUCCAGAACUGCCUUCGAUACUGGCGAUCUCGAGUCCGGAAGAGGUGAGUGGAACUCCUAGUGUAGAGGUGGAAUUCGUAGAUAUUAGGAAGAACACCAGUGGCGAAAGGCGGCUCACUGGUCCGGUACUGACGCUGAGGUGCGAAAGCGUGGGGAGCAAACAGGG
This 255-nucleotide ribosomal RNA is filed under the name uncultured bacterium. RNAcentral's name for it is "partial 16S ribosomal RNA". It matches the Rfam family "Bacterial small subunit ribosomal RNA", at positions 524 to 777 of the family's 1533-position model. The record is from RNAcentral.